ACUCAAAUGAAUUGACGGGGACUUGCACAAGCAGUGGAUUAUGUGGUUUAAUUCGAUGGUAAACGAAGAACCUCACCAGGGUUUGAAACUAAACUGAAAGCCUGCAGAAACGUAGGCCCUCGCAAGACUGUUUAGCAGGUGAUGCAUGGCCGUCGUCAGCUCGUGGUUUGAACUGUUCCCUUAAGUGGGGUAACGAGCGCAACCCUCGUCGUGUGUUACAAGUGUCACACGAGACUGCCCAGAACUUUGCGCAUAAGCGAAAGAUUUUUUCUUUCCGCUUGUGAAUAAAGUUCUGGGAGGAAGGGGAGGAUGACGCCAGGUCAGCAUGUCCCUCUGAUACCCUGGGCUACACACAUAAUACAAUGGCCACUACAACAGGUUGCAAUGGAGCGAUCCGGAGCUAAUCCUUAGAAAAGUGGCCUCAGUUCGGAUUGAAGUCUGCAACUCGACUUCAUGAAGCUGGAAUUGCUAGUAAUCGCAGGUCAGAUAUACUGCGGUGAAUACGUUCUCAAGUCUUGUACACACCGCCCGU
This 532-nucleotide ribosomal RNA is filed under the name uncultured bacterium. RNAcentral describes it as "partial 16S ribosomal RNA". It matches the Rfam family "Bacterial small subunit ribosomal RNA", at positions 899 to 1397 of the family's 1533-position model. The record is from RNAcentral.